Molecule: ribosomal RNA, 253 nt
Filed under: uncultured bacterium
Lineage: Bacteria
Description: partial 16S ribosomal RNA
Rfam family: Bacterial small subunit ribosomal RNA
Source: RNAcentral
GACGUAGGGCGCGAGCGUUGUCCGGAUUUAUUGGGCGUAAAGAGCUCGUAGGCGGCUUGUCGCGUCGAAUGUGAAAACCCACGGCUUAACUGGUGGCUCGCUUUCGAUACGGGCAGACUGGAGGUAUGCAGGGGAGAACGGAAUUCCUGGUGUAGCGGUGAAGUGCGCAGAUAUCGGGAGGAACACCGGUGGCGAAGGCGGUUCUCUGGGCAUGUCCUGACGCUGAGGAGCGAAAGUGUGGGGAGCGAACAGG